RNAcentral lists this ribosomal RNA (468 nucleotides) under uncultured bacterium. RNAcentral's name for it is "partial 16S ribosomal RNA". It matches the Rfam family "Bacterial small subunit ribosomal RNA", at positions 28 to 507 of the family's 1533-position model. The record is from RNAcentral.
GACGAACGCUGGCGGCGUGCUUAACACAUGCAAGUCGAACGGAAAGGCCCUGCUUUUGUGGGGUGCUCGAGUGGCGAACGGGUGAGUAACACGUGAGUAACCUGCCCUUGACUUUGGUAUAACUUCAGGAAACUGGGGCUAAUACCGGAUAGGAGCUCCUGCUGCAUGGUGGGGGUUGGAAAGUUUCGGCGGUUGGGGAUGGACUCGCGGCUUAUCAGCUUGUUGGUGGGGUAGUGGCUUACCAAGGCUUUGACGGGUAGCCGGCCUGAGAGGGUGACCGGCCACAUUGGGACUGAGAUCAGGCCCAGACUCCUACGGGAGGCAGCAGUGGGGAAUAUUGCACAAUGGGCGGAAGCCUGAUGCAGCAACGCCGCGUGCGGGAUGACGGCCUUCGGGUUGUAAACCGCUUUCGCCUGUGACGAAGCGUGAGUGACGGUAAUGGGUAAAGAAGCACCGGCUAACUACGUG